This 550-nucleotide ribosomal RNA is filed under the name Halosarpheia fibrosa. RNAcentral describes it as "SSU rRNA". It matches the Rfam family "Eukaryotic small subunit ribosomal RNA", at positions 39 to 598 of the family's 1831-position model. Lineage: Eukaryota; Fungi; Ascomycota; Sordariomycetes; Microascales; Halosphaeriaceae. The record is from RNAcentral.
AAAGAUUAAGCCAUGCAUGUCUAAGUAUAAGCAAUUAUACCGCGAAACUGCGAAUGGCUCAUUAUAUAAGUUAUCGUUUACUUGAUAGCACAUUACUACUUGGAUAACCGUGGUAAUUCUAGAGCUAAUACAUGCUAAAAAUCCCGACUUCGGAAGGGAUGUAUUUAUUAGAUUAAAAACCAAUGCCCUUCGGGCUUGCUGGUGAUUCAUAAUAACUUCUCGAAUCGCAUGGCCUUGCGCCGGCGAUGGUUCAUUCAAAUCUCUUCCCUAUCAACUUUCGAUGCGAAGGUCUUGUCUUCGCAUGGUUACAACGGGNNNNNNNNNGUUAGGGCUCGACCCCGGAGANGGAGCCUGAGAAACGGCUACUACAUCCAAGGAAGGCAGCAGGCGCGCAAAUUACCCAAUCCCGACACGGGGAGGUAGUGACAAUAAAUACUGAUACAGGGCUCUUUUGGGUCUUGUAAUUGGAAUGAGUACAAUUUAAAUCUCUUAACGAGGAACAAUUGGAGGGCAAGUCUGGUGGACAUCCAGUUCCUAAUGCUGGCGCCAC